GCCUGGGUGGCUCAGUCAGUUAAGCAUCUGACUUUGGCUCAUGAUCUCACGCUUUGUGGGUUCAAGCCCCACAUCGGGCU
This 80-nucleotide transfer RNA is filed under the name Felis catus (domestic cat). It matches the Rfam family "tRNA". Rfam says of the family: Transfer RNA (tRNA) molecules are approximately 80 nucleotides in length. Their secondary structure includes four short double-helical elements and three loops (D, anti-codon, and T loops). The record is from Rfam by way of RNAcentral. Lineage: Eukaryota; Metazoa; Chordata; Mammalia; Carnivora; Felidae.